CCUACGGGAGGCAGCAGUGAGGAAUAUUGGUCAAUGGCCGGAAGGCUGAACCAGCCAAGCCGCGUGAAGGACGACGGUGCCAAGCAUUGUAAACUUCUUUUGUCAAGGGACAAAAUCAGGCUCGAGAGCCUGACCGAGGGUACUUGAAGAAAAAGCAUCGGGUAACUCCGUGCCCGCAGCCGCGGUAAUACGGAAGGCCCGAGCGUUAUCCGGAUUCAUUGGGCUUAAAGGGAGCGUAGGCGGGCGUUCAAGUCAGCUGAAAAAUCGCGCGGCUCAACCGCGCCCCGCAGUUGAAACUGGACGCCUUGAGGUCACAACAGGCAGGCGGAAUUCGGGGUGUAGCGGUGAAAUGCAUAGAUAUCACGAGGAACCCCGAUUGCGAAGGCAGCCUGCCGGGGUGCGACUGACGCUGAGGCUCGAAGGUGCGGGUAUCAAACAGGAUUAGAUACCCCAUAGUC
RNAcentral lists this ribosomal RNA (458 nucleotides) under uncultured bacterium. RNAcentral describes it as "partial 16S ribosomal RNA". It matches the Rfam family "Bacterial small subunit ribosomal RNA", at positions 338 to 795 of the family's 1533-position model. The record is from RNAcentral.